This is a long non-coding RNA of Paramacrobiotus metropolitanus, 5085 nucleotides long. RefSeq lists it as uncharacterized. The record is from RefSeq and is a predicted model, not a curated record. The transcript has 4 exons. Lineage: Eukaryota; Metazoa; Tardigrada; Eutardigrada; Parachela; Macrobiotidae.
CGAUAGCAACAGCGUAUAGCACAUUGCUUCCGAUUUUGAUUCCGUAUUCAUUUCAAACUUAAAUAAUAAUGUCCAAAUAUAUAAGACUGGUUUUUAAAGAACGACAGCGCAUCUGAGAAAGCCCUUUGAGGCCGUUCUAUCCCAGAUUCUCACCUGAUCAUCCUCGUCCUCAUCUUCAACGUUGCUUUCAGUCGCCUCACGAUGCGGACUCUUCACGGACUUGGACGGAGAUUCCUUUUCCCGGGCGAGCUUCGUACUGUGCCGUACAUCCUUGGCCACCGCAAUCUUCUCCUCGGGGGACGAUGAAGGAGACCCCUUGGGAGAAUCCGGGGGGCAGGGGGAGCGCGUGGUGAUCGUCGCGGGCGAGCGAUCAUCCUGGAUUUCAUCUUCGCCGAACGCCAUGGCACAACGGGCGGUCGUUCGGUAUCGAUGAAUAUCACAACAAUCACAGGAAUACACCUGUGCCUAAUUAGUAAAGUGAUUUAUAAGGAAAUCAAACUUAGGAAGGAGAUAAACAAAAAGAUGGGAACAAAUAAAGCGGAGCCAUGUAGAAAAUACGCUGAUAACGGGGUCGCCCAAAUUUUUUGACUCACGAACCGACGGAAAUGAGUGGGUGCAAUGGUGAGCUGUUCGGUAUCACAUGCUCGAUGUUGUGGUGAGCUGGCUUGAUCACGCGCGCGCCUGAUCUUGAAUUCUCGAUUCAGAAAUCAGAAACCAGCAGGACCGCUGCUCCAGGGCGAUCGAGCAGAACAGGAUAUUUACGUUGCGAAAGAGACAUAUAAAUAAGCGUAAAUUCUGUACUCCGUGCUCGCACUCGUUUUCUUUGUAACACCAAACUACUCUAAUUGAUAAUUCAUUCGUGCAAAAUUUUACUAUUUUGCACUUAUGACUGUAAGCUGCAUACAUGCACAAGGCAGCAUACUGGCCCAGACGUAGAGUAUUCUGUCAUCAGUAAACUGCGAGUCUCUAUGGCAAACGCCCCUGGUAGUCAGUACUCGCCUAAACGGCACAUUAAUUCUAUCUAACACGUGAAUGAUUAUGUAAAGGCCUUGUUCAUUACUUUACGCGGCAAACACGCCGCGCAUGCAAAUAAUUAUUUGUAUUAAUUUUACACGCCUGCAAUUGAUUCGAUCAAGUACGGUACAUUGUACGUAUCCCCAAAGUGUUUAUUCAUGCAUACUUCUACAGUCUACUGCACUGGUAUACCGGUAUACUGUACGUAUGUAACUCGUAACACGGUAACGAGUAUUGUGCUUUCUUGACAGCGAUUUUGAAUCAUUAGUACAGUAAUGAUUGCUGCAGUUUGCUUUGAGCCUGAUAAUUCCUUCGAUACGUCACUGAAAUUUUGAAUUAAACUGCUGGGAACAAAUGGCAAAUUUAUGUUCUGUAAUUAAUCGUAUGAAGUAUUGUCGCUGGGUUACAUGUAUUGUACCGGUGCCGGCGGUACAUGUGACUCUGAUGUGAGGAAACAACAAUGAUUAAUAUUCUUGUAAUAUGUAUUGUAUAUUAGUUGAUAAUACGUAAUAUGACGCCGAUAAUUCUUGUUUGUUUUAUCAACUCAUUAUUUUUUCAUACCAACUGGUGAUAAAAUUAGACAAUAAAUCAGUGGUCAGUUAGACGUUCAGAAUGCACCGUGAUCCCCGCAUGCACUCGCCGCCUCCGGCAAUGACUUAACACCGCAAACAGCACCAGCACCAAACUUAAAAUCAACACCACCACCACCAUCACGGUGGCCAUCGUCACCGUCUUCUGUAGGAAACAGUAUUUGACUUCCUGCUGCACUUCCGCCCCGGUGUCCGGCGCGGUUUCGUUGACCUGCGUCACAUUAUCGAAAUACGUCGUCUCCAUGGAGAGAUUAAAGGGGAGCAUGAGAUUCUGCAGCAUCCGGUCACGGCUGCUCGAUAUGGCGAUCUGCAACGAUUGUCCCAUGUGAUUAAGACAAAGGAUUGCAAAGGUCACGGGGACUGACUGCUUACCGCACCCGUGAAUGGCGGGAUGCCCAUGUGGCCGUUGUGGGCGCGCAGGGAGGGCGGGGCGGUGACGUUGGGUUGGGGACGGUACUGCGUGAUGUUGGUGAAGGUCUCCAGGCGGAACUGGAACUGCGGCACGUCGACAGUUUCCGUGAAGCACGUCUAGUUAAUAAUAGAAUUCUUGUGAAGUUAUUGAAUAGAAUUCUUGUGAAGUUAUUGUACAUAUUUUUUAACCCACUAACUGCGUUAUCCCAAACAGACAAACACCUACAUAUAGAUUAAGAAUAUUUGGUUGAAAAGUUUCAACAGUUGCUUUGUUUUAACAAAGUAGAUGCGUAAAUUCAAAAUCCAGAUAUAUAAAAAAAUGUGAAACACGUGAUUAUAAAAUUAACGACUGCAGUUAAAGUAAGUAUUAAAAAUGACCGCCGUAGCAUGCUCAUGAAGUAGCAGGAUAAAUUCAAAAAUCACCAGCAAAUUACGUACAUAGCUGGGGCGUUCUGACUGUGUAUCAUGCAUCCCAUGCAGCAUAAGUAUAUAAUUACAGAGUCUGGAUAUUUUCUCCGAUGUCGACGAAACGAAGUGGGCAUCCAGCCAUGCAUUAUUCUACGAUAGUUUGCUGAUGUCUUAUGUACUGCUUUGAUUUUAGUGCGACAAUUCUAUUGCUUGCUGAUUUCUGAAUCCAAUAGGAUCGCGCAUUGGCGGCACUGCACAGAUUGAUGGAGCAGCGUGCGUUCAGUCGUAGACUUCCGGUGAAGCUGGGAGCGGCAAAUCGGGUGAAGUACAUCCGCUGUUCAGUCGUACCGGCUGGCCGGGUCGGCAUAAACCAUUGCGCAUGCUCCGAUUGACAUCUGCAGCAGUCACGAUAUUUGCUGAAUAAUGGAUUCACGAACGAGGAUCCCGGCGCGACUCGCACCGUGAAUGAAUUCUCCAAUGCCGGCUGAGGCGUCCUUCCGGAAACUACCGCUGACCAUCGAUCUACAUAAAACAAGUUGAUCUGGCACAACACACUGUUGAUUGGCCGAAGCACAGUAAACGGACCUGCAAGCAAAAAUCACUAACUAGAUAGUAAGUGCUUACGAUUCACGAUGUGCGAGUUUUACAAGAAAACAUCUACGUACGAUAUCAUCUAAACAUUGUAAGUAUAGUCUAUAGAUAUACUGAAACGAUUAUUCGUACAUUACGUGACUUUUUACGUCCAAUCGAAAGAAAUAUCGAUAUAAAAAAAAUAUAAUAUCUACUGGGUACGGUAUUAGAGGCUUUGAGCAGAAAACACCAUAACCAUACCUUAACCAUCCCUUAUCGUGUACGCGUUCUUCCCUCGUAUGGGAACAAUGCCCUCAUUGGCUGUGAUAAUUUAACAUCACAACCAAUAGAAAUUGUGAAAUACCGGAUUACACGGCUCGAUUAUACUAAAAUAUUUAGUAGCGCCUAAUUAGUAGCACCUAAAUUCAUAUCGCGUUGCUAUUAAAAAAUUUAGUAGCACCUAGAUAUACUAGUAAUUUGCAUUGCACUGCAAUAAAAUAUUACUAGCACCUACUUAGUAGCACCUAGACAUGACCUACAUCGCAUUACUAUAAAAUAUCAGAACACCAAAUUAGUAGCACCUAGAACUUACACGUGGCUAGAAAUAUUUGUAGCACCUAAUCAGUAGCACUACAUAUAUUGCACGUGCAUUGGAAUUUGCAAUAAAAUAUUAAUAACGUCUAAUUAGUAGCACCUAGACAAAAUUCGCAUUGCAAACGCGAAUUUAUUAAAGUAUUUAGUAGCACCUAAUUGGUAGCGCCUAGACGGUAAUGUGAUGGUUGCAAACGCGAAUUCAUUAAAGUAUUUAGUAGCACCUAAUUAGUAGCGCCUAGACGGUAGUGUAAUGAGCCCAUUUCGCAAUUUCUAUUGGUUGUGAUCACAGCCAAUGAACGCAUUGUUCCCAUACGAGGGAAGAACGCGUCUUAUACGCGUCUUAUCGUGUAGUUGGACGACCGCCAUCGAGGUAGCAGUGUACAAAGUACUCAGCGAAGGCGCAUAGCUGACUCUGGGUCCCUUCAGAUUUAAUUUGUUUUCUCGCACUGCGUGAAACGAUCUCUUUCCAAAAAAUUACAUUUACAUUCAAAAUUGUUUUCUCUAUUCAAAAAAGUGUAUAUCUGGGGGAGUUAAAUUGGGCAGGUGUUAAGGGGAGCCUUUGAAAGUCCAUCACCAUACGACACGUUUGUAUGGUAUUCACACUUACCAUACGCUCGCACUUAACCAUAUAGUAUGGUUAAGUGUAUGGCUAUGGUUAAGUGGAGCAGUUGCUCAAAGCUUCUUAUUUCGGUAUAUACCGUAUAUACAGUGUAGAUGUCACUCAUGUCAAUAUAUCUAUACAUAUUUUGCACCGAGCGCGAAGCGCGAGGUGCUGCAAUUAACUGAUCGUCAAGAGCAUAAAUUUGUCUGACGCCACGAAGAGUGUACGUAACACUUUUCCAAUUCCACAAUCCCAAUACCAUUUCCCAGUGGUAUUAGCGCUCGCGCUCGUGCAAUAAUGUGGUUAACAACCACCGCUAGUUAUAUCUAUAUACAUUUGAAAUUUUGCCAACGCCAUUAUUGGUACUCGAGGAACUUUAUUAACAUCGUUACUUAUUCCUACAGUCCUACUCUACUUGCUGGUUCGACUUCUGCAAACUAUGUCGUUCGUAUGCCUUCAAUAUUAAGAUGCGAAAGGUUUUGUAGUAUAGUGGCACAAGACGGGCUACCAGGCUAGCCAUAUGACAGGUUGUGAUAAUAUUAUUGUGUUGUUAGGCGCCACCCAUAAAUUACGUCACGCAAAAAAUUGGACAUUUUGAUACCCCCCUCCCCCUGUGUCACCAAUGCUAACAAACUGAGAUCCCCUCCCCUGAGCGUUACGUAACAAAAUGAGAACCCAUCCAUCGAUAUAGCAUGUUGACGUCAUCAUCGUAACAAAUUUUUAAAGCCCCCCUCCCCCUCGUAACAAACAGUAACGCUUUCAGGACCUCCCCCCUGCCCCUACUUGCGUGACGUAAUUUAUGGAUGGCGCCUUACUGUUGUACAGCCAAUACAAACAUUAAUUUUAAUACGUUGUUGAUACCGGUAGUUCUGAAAUAAUUUUAGAAUUUCGUUACCU